Lolium perenne is the source of this 637-nucleotide long non-coding RNA. RefSeq lists it as uncharacterized. NCBI's taxonomy places the organism in Eukaryota, Viridiplantae, Streptophyta, Magnoliopsida, Poales, Poaceae. The record is from RefSeq and is a predicted model, not a curated record.
CAAGCCGUAGCCAGAGAGAAACGCACGUAGUUUCAGUUUCGGGAGUUUACACCCAAAUUGAUUUCGGGCGAUUUAAGCCACCAAUUGACGCACCGUUUCUUCCUACUUAACUCCAUUCUCUCCUCUCUAUUUCCCCCCAAACGGAACAUCCCGAGAGCCCCCAGGCUGCUUGAAUUUUAGCUCGCAAAUUCACUGUACCGGCGAGUUCCCGGGACAAAUUCGCGACCAAGCCAUAUUCAUCUGUGAGCACACCCGCGGCGAAGUUUUUCGGCGAGUUUCCGGCGAGCGACUGCGCGUGAACCAGGGAGUAGAACACACCAUCGACCCUCCAUCAUUGUCUUCAGCUCGUCGAUUACCUCACGGACGUCGAGGACCAAACGCGAGUUCAUCCACGAUCCAGGGAGCAACCUCUCCUCCAAUUGUGAUUGUGUUGAUUGCAACGAGUGUUUCUGGGAAGAGUGUACCAACUCCUCCUCUCACCAAGGCAAGUGACACACACCAAAAGUCCCAGUUUUAAUUCUUGCACAGUAGUGUUUUUAUAGUAGACAUGUCUAGGGUUUAUGCUUUUUGCUUGCUAUUAAAUCCUAGUAGUUUAGCUACACCACUCCUAGACUCCCUUAGCCGCCAUUAAAUUUAU